RNAcentral lists this ribosomal RNA (450 nucleotides) under uncultured bacterium. RNAcentral describes it as "partial 16S ribosomal RNA". It matches the Rfam family "Bacterial small subunit ribosomal RNA", at positions 354 to 796 of the family's 1533-position model. The record is from RNAcentral.
GUGGGGAAUUUUGGACAAUGGGCGCAAGCCUGAUCCAGCAAUGCCGCGUGCAGGAAGAAGGCCUUCGGGUUGUAAACUGCUUUUGUACGGAACGAAACGGUCCGGGUUAAUACCCUGGGCUAAUGACGGUACCGUAAGAAUAAGCACCGGCUAACUUCGUGCCAGCAGCCGCGGUAAUACGAAGGGUGCAAGCGUUACUCGGAAUUACUGGGCGUAAAGCGUGCGUAGGUGGUGGUUUAAGUCUGCUGUGAAAUCCCCGGGCUCAACCUGGGAAUUGCGCUUGUGACUGAACAGCUGGAGUGCGGCAGAGGGGGAUGGAAUUCCGCGUGUAGCAGUGAAAUGCGUAGAUAUGCGGAGGAACACCGAUGGCGAAGGCAAUCCCCUGGGCCUGCACUGACGCUCAUGCACGAAAGCGUGGGGAGCAAACAGGAUUAGAAACCCUUGUAGUCC